Molecule: small nuclear RNA, 106 nt
Filed under: Tursiops truncatus (common bottlenose dolphin)
Lineage: Eukaryota; Metazoa; Chordata; Mammalia; Artiodactyla; Delphinidae
Source: RNAcentral
GCGCUACUUUGGCAGCAUAUACGCUAAAAUUGGAACAAUACAGAGAAGAUUAGCACGGCCCCUGCACAAAGAUGACACGCAAAUUUGUGAAACAUUCUAUAUUUAA